CAAUAGCGUAUAUUAAAGUUGUUGCAGUUAAAAAGCUCGUAGUUGGAUUUCUGGUGGGAGCGAUCGGUCUGGCGCUUAGCGCGAGUACUUGCAUCGUCUCCGGCCAUCCUUGGGGAGAGUCUGUCUGGCAUUAAGUUGUCGGGCAGAGGAUCCUCAUCGUUUACUGUGAAAAAAUUAGAGUGUUCAAAGCAGGCUUAUGCCGUUGAAUAUAUUAGCAUGGAAUAAUAAGAUAGGACUAUGGUACUAUUUUGUUGGUUUGCGCACCAAAGUAAUGAUUAAUAGGGACAGUUGGGGGUAUUCGUAUUCCGUUGUCAGAGGUGAAAUUCUUGGAUUUACGGAAGACGAACUACUGCGAAAGCAUUUACCAAGGAUGUUUUCAUUAA
RNAcentral lists this ribosomal RNA (383 nucleotides) under uncultured eukaryote. Its description in RNAcentral is "partial 18S ribosomal RNA". It matches the Rfam family "Eukaryotic small subunit ribosomal RNA", at positions 592 to 976 of the family's 1831-position model. The record is from RNAcentral.